GCCCGUAUUCUUGAAUCCAAUCGUUUGAUCGAAACAUACUAUAAGGACUAGCCAAAAAACCUCAGGAUUGUCCUGAUUUUUAAAAAACUAGAUCAUGUACUCGACCAAAAAUCUAUAGUAUUACCAAAUCAUCUUACUGUCGAGCAAAGAACUGCUUAUGAAAAAUAGAUGGAUGAAGAUAGUUAGGUCAAGUGCUAUGUAGUGACAUCCAUGUCAAAUAAGUUACAGAGCUAGCAUGAGCAUAUGCCUACUGUCAGGGCUAUGAUCACUCACCUACAAGAGUUGUAUGGUGAGCAAAGCCGUACAGCAUGCUUCGAAGUGUCCA
This 325-nucleotide long non-coding RNA is filed under the name Elaeis guineensis (African oil palm). Its description in RNAcentral is "long non-coding RNA (EGUI_LNC055577)". The record is from RNAcentral. Lineage: Eukaryota; Viridiplantae; Streptophyta; Magnoliopsida; Arecales; Arecaceae.